CAACCUCAACUCAUAUGGGACUACCCCCUGAAUUUAAGCAUAUUAAUUAGGGGAGGAAAAGAAACUAACAAGGAUUUUCUUAGUAGCGGCGAGCGAAAAGAAAACAGUUCAGCACUAAGUCACUUUGUCUAUAUGGCAAAUGUGAGAUGCAGUGUAUGGAGCGUCAAUAUUCUAGUAUGAGAAAUUAAUGAUUUAAGUCCUUCUUAAAUGAGGCCAUUUACCCAUAGAGGGUGCCAGGCCCGUAUAACGUUAAUGAUUACUAGAUGAUGUUUCCAAAGAGUCGUGUUGCUUGAUAGUGCAGCACUAAGUGGGUGGUAAACUCCAUCUAAAACUAAAUAUAACCAUGAGACCGAUAGUAAACAAGUACCGUGUGGGAUCCCC
Molecule: non-coding RNA, 381 nt
Filed under: Drosophila simulans
Lineage: Eukaryota; Metazoa; Arthropoda; Insecta; Diptera; Drosophilidae
Description: Eukaryotic large subunit ribosomal RNA
Rfam family: Eukaryotic large subunit ribosomal RNA
Source: Rfam by way of RNAcentral